GGAUGCCUUGGCGAUAUCAGCCGAAGAAGGACGCGGUAAGCUGCGAUAAGCUACGGAGAGGUGCAAGCAACCUUUGACCCGUAGAUUUCCGAAUGGGGGAACCCGGCAGUGGUUAUGCACUGUCACCCAUACCUUUGAGUAUGAGGAGGGCACCUGGGGAACUGAAACAUCUAAUUACCCAGAGGAAGAGUAAUCAAACGAGAUUUUCUUAGUAGCGGCGAGCGAACGGGAAAGAGGCCAAACCGGAGCGGGCAACCGCACCGGGGUUGAGGACAGUCAUCAAGUGUAAAUGAGGUAGAAGAAUCGAGUUGGAAAGCUCAGCCGCAGAAGGUGAAAGCCCUGUAAUCGAAACCUUGCAUACAUGGGACUGUAUCCAGAGUACCACGAGACACGUGAAACCUUGUGGGAAGCAGGGGGGACCACCCUCCAAGCCAAAAUACUGAUAUCGACCGAUAGCGCAUAGUACCGUGAGGGAAAGGUGAAAAGAACCCCUGGCGGGGAGUGAAAGAGAACCUGAAACCGUAUGUCUACAAACAGUCGAAGUCUGUAUAUAUAUCAGGACGACGGCGUGCCUAUUGAAGAAUGAACCGACGAGUUACUGUUGCUAGCGAGGUUAAGUGGAAGACACGGAGCCGCAGCGAAAGCGAGUCUGAACAGGGCGUUCAGUUAGUAAUAGUAGACCCGAAACCGUAGUGAUCUAUCCAUGGCCAGGUUGAAGCACAGGUAAAAUUGUGUGGAGGACCGAACUCGUGAGCGUUGAAAAGCUUUGGGAUGAGUUGUGGAUAGGGGUGAAAUGCCAAUCGAACACGGAGAUAGCUGGUUCUCCCCGAAAUAGCUUUAGGGCUAGCCUCGAGGUUGAGAGUAUAGGCGGUAGAGCACUGAUCGGGCUAGGGGCCAUACCGGUUACCGAACCUAGUCAAACUACGAAUGGCUAUACUUAUACUCGGGAGUCAGACAGUGAAUGAUAAGGUCCAUUGUCAAGAGGGAAACAGCCCAGAACACCGACUAAGGUCCCCAAUGUCAUACUAAGUGGCGAAGGAUGUGGAAUUUCCAAAACAACCAGGAUGUUGGCUUAGAAGCAGCCACCAUUUAAAGAGUGCGUAAUAGCUCACUGGUCGAGAGACUCUGCGCCGAAAAUGUCCGGGGCUAAAGUAUGAAACCGAAGUCGUGUCAUAUGCAGCAAUGUAUAUGGGUAGGGGAGCGUUCUCAUCGGAUUGAAGCAGUACCGUAAGGAGUUGUGGACUGGUGAGAAGUGAGAAUGUCGGUAUGAGUAGCGAAAAGAAUGGUGAGAAUCCAUUCCACCGAAAGCCUAAGGGUUCCUGAGCAACGAUCGUCGUCUCAGGGUAAGUCGGGACCUAAGCCGAGGCGGAAAAGCGUAGGCGAUGGACAACAGGUUGAAAUUCCUGUACCGGUGUGAAUCGUUUGAUCGAAGGAGUGACACAGUAAGGUAGGUCAGCACGCGAUUGGAAGUGCGUGUUUAAGCAUGUAGGUUGAGUUAUAGGCAAAUCCGUAACUCUAAAAGCUGAGAUGUGAUGACGAGCUGUUUACAGCGAAGUGAUUGAUCCUACACUGUCGAGAAAAGCUUCUAGGUAGAGACACAUCGCCCGUACCAAAACCGACACAGGUAGGCGGGGAGAGAAUCCUAAGGUGCGCGGGAAAACCCUCGUUAAGGAACUCGGCAAAAUGCCUCCGUAACUUCGGGAAAAGGAGGACUCAUGUAGUGUGAAGGGCAGUAACGCGUGGAGCAUGAAUGAGUGGCACAAGAGAGGCGCAAGCGACUGUUUACCACAAACACAGGUGCCUGCUAAAGCGAAAGCUGAUGUAUAGGUGCUGACACCUGCCCGGUGCUGGAAGGUUAAGAGGAGGGGUUAGACUUCGGUCGAAGCUCUGAAUUGAAGCCCCAGUAAACGGCGGCCGUAACUAUAACGGUCCUAAGGUAGCGA
This 1943-nucleotide ribosomal RNA is filed under the name Prevotella histicola. Its description in RNAcentral is "partial 23S ribosomal RNA". It matches the Rfam family "Bacterial large subunit ribosomal RNA", at positions 26 to 1962 of the family's 2925-position model. The record is from RNAcentral. Lineage: Bacteria; Pseudomonadati; Bacteroidota; Bacteroidia; Bacteroidales; Prevotellaceae.